GGUUAAACUAACAUUUCCAUUGUGAGCUAGAAAAUAGACAAUCUCCACAGCAGUGGGAGGAAUGUCUGCUAGGUUGGCUGGUAUGAUGUGGGAUGUCUGCAUCCAAGGGAAGGAUCCCGCGUGGGCCAAUCUGGCUGUUAGAAUACUGCAGGUACAAGAUUAACAGUUGUCAUGGAAUUACAGGCUCCCUAAAGUCAUGUAUAUUGAUUAAUA
Pelobates cultripes (western spadefoot toad) is the source of this 213-nucleotide non-coding RNA. Lineage: Eukaryota; Metazoa; Chordata; Amphibia; Anura; Pelobatidae. The record is from the annotation of a GenBank genome assembly.